UACGUAGGGUGCGAGCGUUAAUCGGAAUUACUGGGCGUAAAGCGUGCGUAGACGGUUACAUAAGUCGGGUGUGAAAGCCCCGGGCUCAACCUGGGAAUUGCAUUCGAGACUGCGUAGCUAGGGUGCGGAAGAGGGAAGCGGAAUUUCCGGUGUAGCGGUGAAAUGCGUAGAUAUCGGAAGGAACACCUGUGGCGAAAGCGGCUCACUGGACCAUUACUGACGCUGAGGCACGAAAGCUAGGGGAGCAAACAGG
This 253-nucleotide ribosomal RNA is filed under the name uncultured bacterium. RNAcentral describes it as "partial 16S ribosomal RNA". It matches the Rfam family "Bacterial small subunit ribosomal RNA", at positions 524 to 776 of the family's 1533-position model. The record is from RNAcentral.